GUCAGUACAAUCAACACUUGGUUUCACGUGAUUUACCCCUCACCACACAGAGAAAGCAGAGGAACCACAUUUCAAAUUAAAACUAAGUUCAUGGAUUAUGAAGUGGACCAAGAGAAACUAUUAUAAUGGAAGUCCAAGGAAAAAUAAUUCUAACAGGAAAGGAAGGAGCAAUGGUGUCCCAAGGUAGCAAAGUGCUUGUGGUGAGAGAAAGACCAAUGAAUGUGUCUUAGACAUUUCUUUUAAAAGUAACCUCUAGUGCCUUAGGGAAAAUACUUUUACUAAAGGGAGAAUUACAGAGAUUUUGAGAGUGAAUAAAAGAAGAAGAAAGAAAAGAGUGACAACUACAAGGAACAGGGUGAGGAAGAUGGGACUAUUAGAUAUUCCAAGUGCUAAUUAUAAAUUGAGGUUAAGAAGCCAGGGGAGUGAGAAGGGUUAAGGGAGGAAAUAGUGAUGAAACCAGGUUCAAAAGGAGCUAAGAAGAAUGGGAUUAAGAUACUAGGAAAGGAUUAGACAGGGGACAAGAUGCUUUCUCCAAGAUAGAAGGAAAAGAUAUAGAGUUGAAUGCAAAUUUACCUGUGCUGUGUCUAAUCCUAAUGGAUUCUGUCACUGAAGAAUUUAUUUGAAUGUGGUUGGGAUAUACAGAUCAUUUUUCUUUCUGCUUUGAGAGUCUGGGACAUCAUUUCCAUGAAUUUUCUUGAUCACAAACAAAGGUUGAUCUAUCCUUUCAGCUCUUCGUGUGUCACUCAUACAAUGGGCAAAUGUGUCCAGUCUUCUUAUUAUAGACUUUCCAAUGCACCUCUGAUUUGGAUGUGUCUUUUUCAACAUUGGGAAUUAGAAGGGGAAAUCCAAUCAUUGUUAACUAAUAACAUUUAAAUGCAAAAUGGGAAAAUGCUAUUAAAAGCUGUUAGUUUUGGGCAA
Molecule: long non-coding RNA, 918 nt
Filed under: Marmota monax (woodchuck)
Lineage: Eukaryota; Metazoa; Chordata; Mammalia; Rodentia; Sciuridae
Source: RNAcentral